GUUAGGAAUCUUCCACAAUGGGGGCAACCCUGAUGGAGCAACACCGCGUGCUGGAUGAAGGCCUUCGGGUCGUAAACAGCUUUUGUAUACGAAGAAUAUGACGGUAAUAUACGAAUAAGGGUCGGCUAACUACGUGCCAGCAGCCGCGGUCAUACGUAGGACCCAAGCGUUAUCCGGAGUGACUGGGCGUAAAGAGUUGCGUAGGCGGCUUAUUAAUCGAGUAGUGAAAUCUGGUGGCUCAACCAUCAAAACAUGGCUCGAACUGUUAGGCUUGAGAAUGGUAGAGGUAGUUGGAAUUUCUUGUGUAGGAGUGAAAUCCGUAGAUAUAAGAAGGAACACCAAUGGCGUAGGCAGACUACUGGACCAUUUCUGACGCUGAGGCACGAAAGCGUGGGGAGCGAACCGGAUUAGAUACCCUUGUAGUCC
Molecule: ribosomal RNA, 426 nt
Filed under: uncultured bacterium
Lineage: Bacteria
Description: partial 16S ribosomal RNA
Rfam family: Bacterial small subunit ribosomal RNA
Source: RNAcentral